This 418-nucleotide long non-coding RNA is filed under the name Equus caballus (horse). Its description in RNAcentral is "lncRNA (ENSECAG00000049655.1)". Lineage: Eukaryota; Metazoa; Chordata; Mammalia; Perissodactyla; Equidae. The record is from RNAcentral.
CUGGGAAAUAGAAAUGGAGGGGUGGAGCUCUGAGCGAGAGAAGAGGGCUCUGGGCCAGCAAGCAGGGGCCCUGACUUGAGGCCGAAGGGCUGCGGGAACCGGCCGGCCCGACCUGACCAAACUGCGGCUUCUCUCCUUGCCUCUCCCCGCUUCGUCUCUUCGUUUCUUCCGGGGAGGCCGGGCUCCUCGGCCGCAUGUCUAGCAGCUCCCCCCACCCCUAAGAGUCUAAACGACUGGUUUCCUCGCAGCCCUGGGCAAAGAUCCAACCUCGGGCUGCCCUGGGGACUCAGACGCGUGUGGCUUCUAAGGGACAGCCUGACCCCAGGGACCCUCGUGGUGGACGCUGCGGCGCGGUGCCUCCUCUGCCUUCUGAACCCUCUGAGGUUGCGUUGCCAAGUACGGACGACCUUCCGCUGCU